GAAAUAGAACCUGAAACCGUGUGCUUACAAGUAGUCAGAGCCCGUUAAUGGGUGAUGGCGUGCCUUUUGUAGAAUGAACCGGCGAGUUACGAUUUGAUGCAAGGUUAAGCAGUAAAUGUGGAGCCGUAGCGAAAGCGAGUCUGAAUAGGGCGUUUAGUAUUUGGUCGUAGACCCGAAACCAGGUGAUCUACCCUUGGUCAGGUUGAAGUUCAGGUAACACUGAAUGGAGGACCGAACCGACUUACGUUGAAAAGUGAGCGGAUGAACUGAGGGUAGCGGAGAAAUUCCAAUCGAACCUGGAGAUAGCUGGUUCUCUCCGAAAUAGCUUUAGGGCUAGCCUCAAGUGAUGAUUAUUGGAGGUAGAGCACUGUUUGGACGAGGGGCCCCUCUCGGGUUACCGAAUUCAGACAAACUCCGAAUGCCAAUUAAUUUAACUU
RNAcentral lists this ribosomal RNA (437 nucleotides) under Staphylococcus aureus. RNAcentral describes it as "partial 23S ribosomal RNA". It matches the Rfam family "Bacterial large subunit ribosomal RNA", at positions 540 to 978 of the family's 2925-position model. The record is from RNAcentral. Lineage: Bacteria; Bacillati; Bacillota; Bacilli; Caryophanales; Staphylococcaceae.